This is a long non-coding RNA of Cyprinus carpio (common carp), 750 nucleotides long. RefSeq lists it as uncharacterized. The record is from RefSeq and is a predicted model, not a curated record. NCBI's taxonomy places the organism in Eukaryota, Metazoa, Chordata, Actinopteri, Cypriniformes, Cyprinidae. The transcript is spliced from 4 exons.
GUGUGCAGUGAAUUUAUUUAAUACACGAAUUUUACAAUUACUGAAAUGAACUUUUCCACGACAUUCGAAUUUAUUGAUGUGGGAGGAGAUUGGCCAGUAAUGAAUUUCAGGUGCGAAUGGUUAGUAAUGUGACCAGGAAAGUAUAAAAUAGUUGUUGCAUUGACGGUAGGAUUGGCAUGUUCCUGAAGUUGUGCUCGAUGUUUAGCCACUUAACCCUGGUUCUCGACGUACAGCCUUAUAACUUCCUUGUGCUCGACGUGCAGUUUUUAUCCUUUUGUAUAGGCUGAUUUAUUAAGAGGUUUUACACUGUCAGGAAAGUGGGGCAGGCAAACAUUUAUUGCUGCAGUACCUUCAAUGGGCUGAUGGCUGUGUUGGAAUGCUGAAUAUCCGUAUCUUCUCUGUAUCUAUCAUGUUUGGUCUUGGGAUUAAGCGCUGAGAUUGGUGUGUAGUGGCUUUGUAUAGGGCCGGGCCUGCAUCGGCACUUAACCUCCCCGGGUUUAGGUGAUUUGGGUGGAGUGGCACUGCUGUGUGGUGUGUAUUACCUAGAUGGUUGACACUGAAAUGGUGUUUUGAAGGUUACUCUUUGUUUGCGGUGUAUGCUGUGGGUCUUCUCUUUUCUUCUGUCUCUUACAGGUGAUAGGCGGUGCAUAAGAGCAGGCCCGACCCUCCUUGCCAUUGAGGAGAGCUAUUUUCUACUGUUGUGGAUUUUAUUAUUGAUGCAUGGUUUUUUUUUUUUUUGAUUUUUUUUUU